This is a non-coding RNA of Lepisosteus oculatus (spotted gar), 3353 nucleotides long. Lineage: Eukaryota; Metazoa; Chordata; Actinopteri; Semionotiformes; Lepisosteidae. The record is from RefSeq and is a predicted model, not a curated record.
ACCACCACCAACACCACCGCCGCCGCCGCCGCCGCCGCCACCACCAGCAGCAGCAGCAGCGCCGACCCCCUCUUCUGCCCCCCGCCCCCACCCCCAGGCUGGGCUCAAGAGGAGAGCAUUAGGAGGCGACUGCCUAACUGCCUCUGUAUCUAGGCUGCUCGGAGAGGGUGCAUGGCAGCUGGGAAAGCUCGCCUUCUGCCUCUUCUGUCAAAGGCUCCCGUCUGUCGCUCGCUCUUCCUCUCUCCUCCCUUCUCAUUGAUUCACUGGGGCUCGGCUCCCGGCUCUCGGCUCGCUCACAUCCCCGGCUAAGAAACACCCUGGGUGAGGAAGCUAACAUGCAAGCCUGCCCCUAGAGACAGGCUGAUUCAGAGGACAGUGGGCUCUCCGGCCUCCCUGCCUUCCCUCUCCUCUCCAGAUCCUGCCUGAAAAUAAGACGCUACGAUGAGCAUCACGCAGCAGCUAAAAAACACUAAGAGCGAGCAGCGCAGCCAGGCAGUUGUGCACAUGCUUGGCUGGUCACAUGGCACGGUUCUGUACUGCACCGCAGUUCCUUGGUAACAGAACAGUUAAAAUGCAAAUGUGCUCUCUUCAAGGCUGAGAGGAGUGUGUGUUCCUUCAAUACACACACAACGCAGGUGCCACUUUCAGAGCUAUUAAUUACCAGCCCCGUUAUGUACAUUGUCCUUUUCUUUCCUCCUGGAUCAAACCCUUCUUCCUCUUUCUCCUCUACCCCAACCUCAUCCUGCUCCCCCUCCCAAACACCCUCCUUGAUCUCCAAAGCUCAGCAUCGCCCCUCCAUAUUAUCUUCCCUACGCUGUAUUCUGUUUGGAAAUGUACACUGCGUCCCUGUCAGCUCCUGCGCGCGUAGAAAAAAAAAACUGACAGGAAAGAAAAGGCUAACUGUGCCACAGAAGAAACGUCCUUGAAAUCUAGAAAAAACAACAAAGAAGUGAAACCCUGAAUGGGCUGUAAAGCUCAGUGGCAUCCCAGCUGGGACGUGGGACGAGGGACGAGGAUCGUCACCCUGGUGGAGUGGGAUGGACUCUGGAUCGAUUACUGAUCUGCAACUAGACUACUACUUCCCUUCCCUGAGGCACCCGGACAGAGCGAGCUUCUCAAAUCCACAAGAGAAAGGAAAAUAAAACAUUUCCUACCAAAGGAGACAGCACAAAAAAACCAAGCACUACUAUUUAAAAAAAAAACUUUUACUGAAAGGCUGAAACAAGCCCCCCUUCCCCCAGAGAAUAACUUUGCAAAAAAAUGUCUAGAGAAACUAGUAUCAUCUGAUUAAUCGAACCAUGCUCCAAAGAAAGCAGCAGUUUUAGAAUCAUUGCCUUCUGCAUCACGGUGUGAUGACAACAGCAGCACAGCUCCGGGGAUCUGCGCCAGGUGUGAGGAAGAGUACGGCUCAUCACUCUGCAUGGUUCAGACCACCUGGAAGCCCUCAGUUAGCAGACGCCUGAUGUUUGCAGGAACUGUGCACAGUGACGCAUAUACUCCCUGACCAAACACCCGCCUGAUCUUAACCUUCCUGUAUGACUGCACUGCGAGGCAAGGGUAAAAGAUCAGAUGAACGAAUUAGGCCUUGGUGUCUCAACCAAUUAAAAGUUGCGAAGGAUGAAGAGAUGCCCCGUGAACAAAUUAAAUAGGACAUAAUCUUCAGUGAUGCUUCCUGAGCUGAUUAAAAAGAGCAGCAGGCUUAAAUGGGGCCUCAUGUCCAAUCAGCCACAAGCCUGGUUCUGCCUGCUCAGCACUCCCCUCCUCUGCACAGAGCACUCUGGGAUCAUGACCGCCAGGAUUUAGAAAAGGGCUGACAUGAGGCUGCACCGCAGCAACAGAAAAAGAUCAUUUCUAAGGAGCGCAGCAGCGCAACGCACCGACUGUGGCACGGCACAGUAAUGGGACACAUUUGCACUCGCCACUGAGUCACAAGUGUUAUUUACAGAAUCGAGAACGACAGGCUACAGCCUGCGCUGAGCAGCUGAGCUGCAUUCAAGGACAAUCCUGAGCAGCAAGAGACAGGAGGAGAGGGGCUAGACCGGACUCUGUCAUCACCGACCUGAACUGACAAUGUCUAAGAGUGCAUAAGAGCUUAAAUACUAUACACCAUCACAUGAAGUUUCAUGUUAUUUUUAAAUUACCCUCCGCCUUGAAGGAAAAACCACCUAGCAGCUAUUUAAGACCUGCAGAAAAGGGGUUGACCCUUGCGGUGGACUGGCGUUCCACCCAGGGUACCCCUGCCUAACGCCAUUGCUGGCCGGGAAAGGUUCCGGCUCCCCCUGAAUGGGAUUAAGUUGUUGAAAAAAUGGCCAGAUGUCCUUGAAAUCUGGAUGGAAAAAGGUUAACAAGUCCAAACCAGCCAUAACUGGUCGAACUGAACCCUCUCCCAUCAAGUUCAGACUGAUAGUUUGAAGGCAUCUUGAAAGCCUGGAAGAACACAAGAACGGUUACAAAGGUCAUUCGGCCCAUCCAGCCCAUUUGGUAGUUAGCAGCCAAUGUGCACCACACUCCCACACCCCUUUGUGUAAAUAAGUGCCUCAUGUCAUUGGUAUUAAAUGCACUGCCAGGUACACACAAGACAGCAGUCUCAACGCAUGGACCUGGGGAUGCUUCUUGACGCUGAUGCUCAACUCAACAUAAGAGGCUUCAGCAAAGCUACAGGAGAAAAGCUAACAUUUACACCCGACAGCCAGCGGGUAGCAGUAGUCAUCGGGGGAACUCAAGACAGUUCCAGUGUUGAGUUCUAUUUUGGUUAAUGUCCUCUGUAUCAAGCUGAACACGAGUUUCAGCGAGCCUCCUUGCAGAUCCAGUAAAUCUGGCCCAGGCAGGACAGCCAGCUAAUGUGACGAGCAGCUCGCGAGCAAGGUGGCGCCCCUGGCCGAUCUCCCGACUCGCGUGGUGACGUCUCCGGUGUGCGCCGCGGGCGAGCGCCCUGGGAAACGCCACCCCCCCUGCUUGCCGUCUGCUGGUGGCAGGGAGAGGCUGGGCAGUGGGCAUCUUUCCCAAGCUUUGAUGACGUCUACCCUCUUCUCAGGCGUGCCAGGGAGUUAUGGGCCCCGCGGCCCCAGAAGAGCAGGCGCCCCCCGAGACACAGCCUCGCACCCCUGCCAGGCCCACCCACAGAGGAGGGGGAGGAGGAGGAGGAACUCGGGGCGAGGGAGGGGACGCAGACAGCGGGGCCUGGCCUUCGCAGAAACGCGGCGCUGCAAGCCUGCACCGGAUCAGCACAAACGCACUGUACCGCCCACCCCGCCCCCAGAGACACACACACAGCCUGAAACCAGAUCACAUAAGGUUUAAAAUAAACAUGAGGCCCUGCAAAAGAAAUCUUAAAUUGAACACCAACAGUGAAA